GUGGGGAAUUUUGGACAAUGGGGGCAACCCUGAUCCAGCAAUGCCGCGUGCAGGAAGAAGGCCUUCGGGUUGUAAACUGCUUUUGUACGGAACGAAACGGUCCUGGUUAAUACCUGGGGCUAAUGACGGUACCGUAAGAAUAAGCACCGGCUAACUACGUGCCAGCAGCCGCGGUAAUACGUAGGGUGCAAGCGUUAAUCGGAAUUACUGGGCGUAAAGCGUGCGCAGGCGGUUCGGAAAGAAAGAUGUGAAAUCCCAGGGCUCAACCUUGGAAUGGCAUUUUUAACGCCCGAACUAGGGUGUGUCAGAGGGGGGUGGAAUUCCGCGUGUAGCAGUGAAAUGCGUAGAGAUGCGGAGGAACACCGAUGGCGAAGGCAGCCCCCUGGGCCUGCACUGACGCUCAUGCACGAAAGCGUGGGGAGCAAACAGGAUUAGAUACCCGAGUAGUCC
This 450-nucleotide ribosomal RNA is filed under the name uncultured bacterium. RNAcentral describes it as "partial 16S ribosomal RNA". It matches the Rfam family "Bacterial small subunit ribosomal RNA", at positions 354 to 796 of the family's 1533-position model. The record is from RNAcentral.